Long non-coding RNA from Folsomia candida, 775 nucleotides. RefSeq lists it as uncharacterized. NCBI's taxonomy places the organism in Eukaryota, Metazoa, Arthropoda, Collembola, Entomobryomorpha, Isotomidae. The record is from RefSeq and is a predicted model, not a curated record. The transcript is spliced from 4 exons.
CUCCUGCAAAACUAUCACUCUCCUAUCCAUACAUCAUCAGAUUUUCGAGUUCGUGCUCCUCCCCUCUUCAUCGCCUUCAAGGCUGUUUCCCGUGGUAUUCUCUACGCAUGGGGUCUUCCAUCACGAGGUGUAACUUGCUGCUGCCGUAUUUCAAGAUUUGUUGUUACCCACGAACUCUCGAACUCUCGGAAGACGCUUCAAACUUUGUCAGACCUGGUUGAUUUUUGAAAACGGUUUGGAGGAGCAAGAUCAACAUUAUCCACCCCAUUGUAGAUUGUCGUCGUUUUUCUCCUUUUUUUCAUCAGCAUUUUCCGAAGAACUCCUAGUAUUUCAACGAUUUUUUUCACAUCUGCGUUUUUAUUUUUAUGUUUUUAUUUUUUUUUUGUAAUUUAUAAUUAAGUGAUUAGUUCACUUAAUUUCAUAUUCUUUAAUAAAGCUGGUUUAUGCAAAGAAAGUCACAACUGAUUGGUUCGGUUUGAAAUUCAGAAUUGCUUUGUGCUAUUCAAAAUCCAGAACUAUUUAGUAUGGUUCAAAAUUUGAAAUAGUUUGUCUGUUUCGAAGUUAAGUCUGAGUUGAUCUGACUGAAACAAGGACUGCUUUGUAGGUUAAUCCCUUAUAUUUGAAGAAAAUGGCUAAAUCAAGAAAUAACGAAGUCCUGAAAUAUGAUUUUUGGAAUGCAAAUGGUCUUACACUACCAAUUAAUCCAAUGGUCAAAUUACUAAAAAUGUUUGAAACUACUUGGAAGGAAAGUGAUCUGGUUUUCAUACAAGAGACC